AGAUUGAACGCUGGCGGCAGGCCUAACACAUGCAAGUCGAGCGGCAGCGGGAAGUAGCUUGCUACUUUGCCGGCGAGCGGCGGACGGGUGAGUAAUGUCUGGGAAACUGCCUGAUGGAGGGGGAUAACUACUGGAAACGGUAGCUAAUACCGCAUAACGUCUACGGACCAAAGUGGGGGACCUUCGGGCCUCACGCCAUCGGAUGUGCCCAGAUGGGAUUAGCUAGUAGGUGGGGUAAUGGCUCACCUAGGCGACGAUCCCUAGCUGGUCUGAGAGGAUGACCAGCCACACUGGAACUGAGACACGGUCCAGACUCCUACGGGAGGCAGCAGUGGGGAAUAUUGCACAAUGGGCGCAAGCCUGAUGCAGCCAUGCCGCGUGUGUGAAGAAGGCCUUCGGGUUGUAAAGCACUUUCAGCGAGGAGGAAGGCAUAAAGGUUAAUAACCUUUGUGAUUGACGUUACUCGCAGAAGAAGCACCGGCUAACUCCGUGCCAGCAGCCGCGGUAAUACGGAGGGUGCAAGCGUUAAUCG
Molecule: ribosomal RNA, 532 nt
Filed under: Yersinia enterocolitica (type O:5) str. YE53/03
Lineage: Bacteria; Pseudomonadati; Pseudomonadota; Gammaproteobacteria; Enterobacterales; Yersiniaceae
Rfam family: Bacterial small subunit ribosomal RNA
Source: RNAcentral